AUCUUUUUGUGGAUGGUAAGCAUGAUGACUGCCUGUUCACAAGCAUGUAUGAAAUGUGCUUGAGUCCUCAAAGUUUGGUCAGCACAUCACCUUCUGAAG
This is a small nucleolar RNA of Nycticebus coucang (slow loris), 99 nucleotides long. RefSeq annotates it as small nucleolar RNA U13. The transcript has a single exon. Lineage: Eukaryota; Metazoa; Chordata; Mammalia; Primates; Lorisidae. The record is from RefSeq and is a predicted model, not a curated record.